This 119-nucleotide ribosomal RNA is filed under the name Aegilops tauschii subsp. strangulata. Lineage: Eukaryota; Viridiplantae; Streptophyta; Magnoliopsida; Poales; Poaceae. The record is from RNAcentral.
GGAUGCGAUCAUACCAGCACUAAAGCACCGGAUCCCAUCAGAACUCUGAAGUUAAGCGUGCUUGGGUGAGAGUUGUACUAGGAUGGGUGACCUCCUGGGAAGUCCUUGUGUUGCAUUCC